AUUGAACGCUGGCGGCAGGCUUAACACAUGCAAGUCGAACGAGCGGAGGACGGGUGAGUGAGGUCUGGGAAACUGGCUGAUGGAGGGGGAAAACUGGUGGAAACGGUAGAUAAUACCGCAAACGGUGCGAUGGGCCGAGGUGGGAUUAGCUAGUGGGUGGGGGAAUGGCUCACCUAGGCGACGAUCCCUAGCUGGUCUGAGAGGAUGACCAGCCACACUGGAACUGAGACACGGUCCAGACUCCUACGGGAGGCAGCAGUGGGGAAUAUUGGACAAUGGGCGAAAGCCUGAUGCAGCCACGCCGCGUGUGUGAAGAAGGCCUUCGGGUUGUAAAGCUCUGUCAGCGGGGAGGCGUUACUCGCACAAGAAGCACCGGCUAACUCCGUGCCAGCAGCCGCGGUAAUAC
RNAcentral lists this ribosomal RNA (406 nucleotides) under uncultured bacterium. RNAcentral describes it as "partial 16S ribosomal RNA". It matches the Rfam family "Bacterial small subunit ribosomal RNA", at positions 29 to 526 of the family's 1533-position model. The record is from RNAcentral.